Molecule: ribosomal RNA, 252 nt
Filed under: uncultured bacterium
Lineage: Bacteria
Description: partial 16S ribosomal RNA
Rfam family: Bacterial small subunit ribosomal RNA
Source: RNAcentral
UACGUAGGGUGCGAGCGUUGUCCGGAAUUAUUGGGCGUAAAGAGCUUGUAGGCGGUCUGUCGCGUCUGCUGUGAAAAUCCGGGGCUCAACCCGGACUUGCAGUGGGUACGGGCAGACUAGAGUGUGGUAGGGGAGACUGGAAUUCCUGGUGUAGCGGUGAAAUGCGCAGAUAUCAGGAGGAACACCUAUUGCGAAGGCAGCUCGCUGGGACGUAACUGACGCUGAGACGCGAAAGCGUGGGGAGCGAACAGG